This is a long non-coding RNA of Lycium barbarum (goji berry), 2734 nucleotides long. RefSeq lists it as uncharacterized. NCBI's taxonomy places the organism in Eukaryota, Viridiplantae, Streptophyta, Magnoliopsida, Solanales, Solanaceae. The record is from RefSeq and is a predicted model, not a curated record. The transcript has 6 exons.
AGUUGAUGACAUCUUUCCUAAAUCGCUUCAAGUUAUUUCACCUUUCCCGGAAAGCUUAGUGGGUAUGAAAUCUCAGGUUGAAAAAGUAACCUCAUUAUUAGAUAUGGAAUCAAAUGAUGUUCGCUCUAUUGGGAUUUGGGGUAUGGGCGGCAUAGGCAAGACAGAAAUUGCAAGUGUUCUAUAUCAAACAUACUGUCAUUGAUUUGAAGCUGAUUGUUUUCUUGGUAUUGUAUCAGAAAAAUGGACUUACAUGGCUAGCAGAAGUCGUCAUUCGCAAGCUCUUGGGUGAAAAUGUGACUCUUAACUAGUGAAUACGAAGGGGUGAUUAUUUUAAAGAAAAGGCUUCGCUGGAAGAAAGUUUUGUUCAUUCUCGAUGAUGUAAACCACCGAGAACAGUUGGAAUUUUAGUGGGAGGGCUAGAGUGGUUUGGUGGGGGUAGCAGAAUUAUUUUAAUAGCAAGAGACAAGCACCUGUUGAUUAAUCAUGUUGGGGAUAACGUGUAUGAAGUCCAACUAUUAACUGAUCGAGGAUGAAGCUAUUGAAUUGUUCAGUAGGUAUGCUUUUGGAGAAAAAUCAGCAAAGAAGGAUUUUAUGAAACUUUCAAGAGAAGUGGUGGAGUAUGCUGUGGACUCCCUUUAGCUCUUCAAGUUUUGGGUUCUUCUUUUUACAGAUGAGACAAAAAAGUACUGGAGAGAAAUAAUUGAUCGGCUGAAGAGAAUCCCUCACAAUGAUAUUCUAGGAAAGCUUCAGCUUAAUUUUGAUGGAUUGAACAAAGAUGAGAAGGGUAUAUUUCUAGAUAUUGCAUUUAUUGAUAUUGCAUGCUUGACUGGAUCUAGUUUUACUCUUUAUGUGGAACUAGUACUUGAGACUCCUGGUUUUCAACUGAUAAGAGUUUGCCUUAUCGAAAAAUCUCUGUUAUCCAUUGACAUAUAUAAUAGAAUCGUGAUGCAUAAUAUGAUAAGAGAUAUGGGUGCAAAUGUCAUACAGAAACAGUACGCUAACAGCAGAAUAUGGCUUCCCGAGGGGGGCUUGUGACCUUUUUAAAGGAAAGUUGAAAAGGUGGAAAGCCUAUGUAUCCCUUAUCAUUACGAUUUUGAAGAUGACCCGGUCAAUUAUAGCAAUAUUUUCAAGAGGAUGCAAAGCUUACAAGUAAUCAUAAUUCGUGAUGGAACUGUUAGCUCGGACGCUAUCUCUUAUCUUCCUUCCAGUUUGCUGUUUAUUGAGUGGGAGAAUUCAGUACAGGCAGGUAACAUGUUGGGGAAUUCACCUGGAGUUGGAGAAUAAAGAUAGGAGAUGGAGAAGGAAGCAACGAGCGGUGCAAAGUCUCAAACUCUUUCCAGUUCUGCGAAAAGAUACUACAAUGACUACUGAAAUUGGUGCUCUAUGGUACUACUUGAGCAACCAGAAGCAGCACGCACUUCUGGACAUUUGCAAGCAUCUGCUGAUCAUAACAUGACAACAGACAGGGAACUACAUUUGGGCAAUGAGAAUAAAGAUCUAGAGAUGGAUCAAGCAACAAUGGCAGUUCAAAAGGAGCAUGAGUCUCAGAAUGUAGAGCUGACUAGAGUUUGUGAUAGCCCAUCAAGGAAAAUGGGCGAUGCUUCAAGAAAGAGAAAGAGAAAUAGAAAUAGAAACAAAAAGAGAAAGACAGCACACAUGAUUUUGGUUGGAUCAUGAGAAACCUCUUUCUUUGCUAGCAAAAGUUGGUCAUUAAGAGGAGAAAAUCGAGGAUGCAUCUGUCCAAUCAGAUAUUCAAAACAAAGAACGUGUAAUGAUGGAGCAGUUACUCAAACAUCAAAACCAAGCGUAAGGAGCUUUGCAAGUGAAGGCUUUCAAGUUACAUGAUUAGCUUUUGGCAUUUCAAGGGACAUGGCAAAAAAGGAAGAAACUGAAAGAUAGUUUCAAGAGAUUGGUGAACUGAGAUGGUUGUAAUAUGGGGACAUGGAAUCAUACAUAAUGGUGACUUUUCAUUUCAUACUCAGAGACCUGAUUGGAUUGCUAAAAGAGCUGGAUUUUGAGGAUCAGUCCGGAGAGUUGCCAAUGGUUACGAGAUUGUAAUGGGAUUGCUUAUAUUUACUUCAGUUGCUUUACUAGCAUGCUUUAGUCUGCCGUAAUCUGAAUUCCAAACCUGGAUGUUGUUUAACCAACAAUUCAACGGAUAUCUCCUAAUUGUUUGUAAUCUUUGUGGAUAUAUAGCUGAGAUCUCAUUUUCUCUAAACAAAGGACUAAAUUUUCAAGCUUGAAAAAUUCUUCAAUACUGACAUGUUUACUUACAUCGUAAAUAAUUAUGUAGUGCCGAUUGCAGCAUUUUUGGGGGAGUUAAUAGUCAUAUUGGCUAAUUGCACCACAUGUUUUUACUCCUUUCUUCUUGUGAACUUUGGCAUUUGUAUUGGGCUUGCUUGACUUAGUAUCUCAAGCCAUGAUGGGCUUUCCAAAUCAUUUGUAUUCAGAUGAUUUGAUUUGCACCAAUGGAAACCAUAAAACGUCUUACUCAAGAAUAGAGGGAUACCAACGUCUUACACAAAAAAUAGAGGGAUACUAUUAGAGUUUUUUUUUUUUUUUUUUAAUUUUUUUUAAAAUGAAUGGAGUUUUUCUUUUUCUUUUUCUAUCCUAUUCAUGAGUACUGAUUACAGAUAUUGUAAGAGUCCUUUCUUAUUGUUGUGCUAGCUCAUUAUCUAAAUGAGUUGCACAUACAUCUGAUUAUAUAUUCCUCGACGUUGAGGGCACUCCUUAA